GACGAACGCUGGCGGCGUGCUUAACACAUGCAAGUCGAACGGAAAGGCCCUGCUUUUGUGGGGUGCUCGAGUGGCGAACGGGUGAGUAACACGUGAGUAACCUGCCCUUGACUUUGGGAUAACUUCAGGAAACUGGGGCUAAUACCGGAUAGGAGCUCCUGCUGCAUGGUGGGGGUUGGAAAGUUUCGGCGGUUGGGGAUGGACUCGCGGCUUAUCAGCUUGUUGGUGGGGUAGUGGCUUACCAAGGCUUUGACGGGUAGCCGGCCUGAGCGGGUGACCGGCCACGUUGGGCCGGAGAUACGGCCCAGACUCCUACGGGAGGCAGCAGUGGGGAAUAUUGCACAAUGGGCGGAAGCCUGAUGCAGCAACGCCGCGUGCGGGAUGACGGCCUUCGGGUUGUAAACCGCUUUCGCCUGUGACGAAGCGUGAGUGACGGUAAUGGGUAAAGAAGCACCGGCUAACUACGUG
RNAcentral lists this ribosomal RNA (468 nucleotides) under uncultured bacterium. RNAcentral describes it as "partial 16S ribosomal RNA". It matches the Rfam family "Bacterial small subunit ribosomal RNA", at positions 28 to 507 of the family's 1533-position model. The record is from RNAcentral.